Sapajus apella (tufted capuchin) is the source of this 1625-nucleotide RNA transcript. It is a transcript of the gene named cytochrome b-c1 complex subunit 2, mitochondrial pseudogene, with no coding region annotated. NCBI's taxonomy places the organism in Eukaryota, Metazoa, Chordata, Mammalia, Primates, Cebidae. The record is from RefSeq and is a predicted model, not a curated record. The transcript has a single exon.
AAAAAAGAGUCCGCCACCAUCUUGCUUUCCUAUAAUCCGGCAGUGACCGUGGGUCAGAACAGUCUUGAAUCAUGAAGCUACUAACCAGAGCUGGGUCCUUCUCGAGAUUUUAUUCUCUCAAAGUUGCCCCCAAAGUUAAAGCCACAGCUGCGUCUGCAGGAGCACCACCACAACCUCAGGACCUUGAGUUUACCAAGUUACCAAAUGGUUUGGUGAUUGCUUCUUUGGAAAACUACGCUCCUGUAUCAAGAAUUGGUUUGUUCAUUAAAGCAGGCUGUAGAUGUGAGGACUCCAACAAUUUAGGAACCACUCAUUUGCUGCGUCUUGCAUCUGGUCUGAUGACUAAGGGAGCUUCAUCUUUCAAGAUAACCCGUGGAAUUGAAGCAACUGGUGGCUUAUUAAGUGUGACUGCAACAAGGGAAAACAUGGCUUACACUGUGGAAUGCCUGCAGGGUGAUGUUGAUAUUCUAAUGGAGUUCCUGCUCAAUGUCACCACAUCACCAGAAUUUCGUCACUGGGAAGUAGGUGACAUUCAGCCUCAGCUAAAGAUUGACAAGGCUGUGGCCUUUCAGAAUCCACAGACUCAUGUCAUUGAAAAUUUGCACGCAGCAGCUUACCGGAACGCCUUGGCUAAUCCCUUGUAUUGUCCUGACUAUAGGAUUGGAAAAGUGACACCAGAGGAGUUACAUUGCUUCGUUCAGAACCAUUUCACAAGUGCAAGAAUGGCUUUGAUUGGACUUGGUGUGAGUCAUCCUGUUCUAAAGCAAGUUGCUGAACAGUUUCUCAACAUGAGAGGUGGACUUGGUUUAUCUGGUGCAAAGGCCAAAUACUGUGGAGGUGAAAUCCGAGAACAAAAUGGAGACAGUCUUGUCCAUGCCGCUCUUGUAGCAGAAAGUGCUGCCGCAGGAAGUGCAGAGGCAAAUGCAUUUAAUGUUCUUCAGCAUGUCCUCAGUGCGGGGCCACAUAUCAAGAGGGGCAGCAACACCACCAGCCAUCUGCACCAGGCUGUUGCGAAGGCAACUCACCAGCCAUUCGAUGUUUCUGCAUUUAAUGCCAGUUACUCAGAUUCUGGACUCUUUGGGAUUUAUACUAUCUCCCAGGCCGCAGCUGCAGGAGAUGUUAUCAACGCUGCCUAUAAUCAAGUAAAAACAAUCGCUCAAGGAAACCUGUCCAACACAGAUGUCCAAACUGCCACGAACAAGCUGAAAGCUGGAUACCUGAUGUCAGUGGAGUCUUCUGAGGGUCUCCUGGAAGAAGGCGGGUCCCAGGCCCUAAUUGCUGGUUGUUACAUGCCACUAUUCACAGUCCUUCAGCAGAUUGAUUCAGUGGCUAACGCUGAUAUCAUAAAUGCCGCAAAGAAGUUUGUUUCUGGCAAAAAAUCGAUGGCAGCAAGUGGAAAUUUGGGACAUACACCUUUUGCUGAUGAGUUGUAAUACUGAAACACACAUUACAGGAGAGAGCUGAACAUUCUCAGCCCAGAGAAGCAAAUACAUGAAAGUCAGAAGUCUCUAAUAUAACAUUUGUCUUUUUUCCAGUGAAGUAAAAUAAGGCAUAAAUUCAGGUAAUUAUUGCCAGCUGACCUAAAGUCAAUAAAACAUUCUACUUAAGUGUUAAAAAAAAAAAAA